CUACCUUUAAAAGCACUGGCUGGGCCUCUUGCUCACGACCCACCGAGCCGUCGAGAAGCACAGAGCACAAACACCGCUUUUGGGUGAAGCGGCAGCGUGUUGCGUUGUUACGCUUCAUUUGGUGGUGUGACAAGA
This is a small nucleolar RNA of Cavia porcellus (domestic guinea pig), 135 nucleotides long. The record is from Ensembl. Lineage: Eukaryota; Metazoa; Chordata; Mammalia; Rodentia; Caviidae.